RNAcentral lists this ribosomal RNA (252 nucleotides) under uncultured prokaryote. RNAcentral describes it as "partial 16S ribosomal RNA". It matches the Rfam family "Bacterial small subunit ribosomal RNA", at positions 524 to 775 of the family's 1533-position model. The record is from RNAcentral.
UACAGAGGGUGCGAGCGUUAAUCGGAAUUACUGGGCGUAAAGCGCGCGUAGGCGGCUUUUCAAGUCGGAUGUGAAAUCCCCGGGCUUAACCUGGGAACUGCAUUCGAGACUGUCUAGCUAGAGUAUGGGAGAGGGAAGUGGAAUUUCAGGUGUAGCGGUGAAAUGCGUAGAUAUCUGAAGGAACAUCAGUGGCGAAAGCGACUUCCUGGACCAAUACUGACGCUCAUGUGCGAAAGCGUGGGGAGCAAACAG